This 4064-nucleotide long non-coding RNA is filed under the name Nicotiana tabacum (common tobacco). Its description in RNAcentral is "long non-coding RNA (NTAB_LNC003936)". Lineage: Eukaryota; Viridiplantae; Streptophyta; Magnoliopsida; Solanales; Solanaceae. The record is from RNAcentral.
CAAAAUAAAGUAAAAUAACUUUUUUUGGUUUUUCAAAUACAAAACAAGAAGUACUAUAAUAAAAGACUCGACAAUCUUAACUAGACUGACAUACUUGAUACUACUAUACAAGACUAAAAAUUAAAAGACAACAUAAAAUAGACUAAGAAAAAUAAAAAGUUUCCUCAAGCAGCUCGUGUAUGCAAUGAUCUUAACUAGAAUGGUCUUGUGGUAUUUUUCAUGUUCAAUUCUAGCAAAUUGAUCCAUACCUGAACGGGAAAAAUAAGAUCAAAUAGAGUUAGUGACUCAAGACACAUGUGAGAUCAUAAUACUUCCAAUUAGGUCAUGCAAGACAUGAUUGGGCUAUUUUUACUAAAAUGGCUUAUGUGGCCAAGAGUGACUAUUAGUGCAUACUCAACAAAGGUGACCUCAAAGGCAUGAAAAUAUCUUACUAAGGCUUAUAUGACUUCAAACUUCAAACAAUCAUGGCCCUAGAAAAUACUUUGCAAAAGUGACCUAUUUUGCAAAAAUGGCGGAUGUGGCCAAACGUAGCUAGAAAUGCAAAUUCAACAAGGAGGGGACUUAAUGGAAUGGGACCCCUACCUAUGUACUCAAGAUUCUAAGACAUGGGUCAUUGAACCACUUUUACGAAAAUAGCCCCAGUUUGCAAGAAUGGCCGAUGUGGCCAAAAAUGUCCAGACAUGCAAAUUCAACAAGAAUGGACCUUACUGAGAAGAUACCUUGUUGUGUACUUAGGGCUCUAAGAUAUUAUAUAACAAACCACUUUUAUAAAAUAGCCCUAUUUUGCAAAAACAACCGAUGUGGCCAGACAUGCAAGAUUUGGCUAAGACCCUGCGAAGCCAAGAACCUAAAAGAAGACCGGACCCUAUGUGGGUUGCCUACGUAUCUCACCCCGAAAGAUGAGAAUCGGGUAUUUGUAGUUCGGGAAGAUUGGACAUGGGAGAAAUCUUUUUUAAAAAACAAAAGCAUCAAAUUUGGAAAAACUAUAUUUUUCAUCUUGUUGAAAAACGAUGGGAAAAUGUAAAAUCUUUUUGGAUUUUAUUUUUUCUCCUUUUUUCUUUUUUUGAUUUUUGUUUUUUUUUGGAAAAUGAUGGGAAAGUACGUAAUCUUUUGGAUUUUUCAUUUUUAUUUUUUUGGUCUUUUUCUUGAAAACGUUGUGAAAGAAAAACAUAACUGGGCUCUACUUGCUUCAUUUUGUACUUUACCCUCUUUUCUCCCAAUUGGUCCGUCAAAUGUCCUAUUUACCCUCAAAGAUGUAACAUUUAGCACAUAAGAUGGUUAAAUGUCACUUUGGGCCAGCGAGCCCUUUCGACACAAUUUGGACAAGUUUCCUACAAAGGACACGGCACCUUGGACUAGUCCCUGCUAGGUCAUAAUGAUAUGAUGCAAAACAAAUGACCUAAAGGCUGACCUACAUUUGGGGUUCACUAAAAAGGAAAUUCAGGGGAGUGUAUGGUCGAUAGUGGCUACUUAAGCUUUCCACCCACUCCAUACGUCCAACGGCCCCCCCUCAUAAAAUAAGGGUGACUCAACAAAGAGAUCGUGUAUGCGACGCAUACUCCGAGACUUAUUGUAGAAAGAAUUGGCUGGUAAUGCAUAUGAGGACAGUUAUAAAUUGGUAAACACAUAAGGACAAACGAUAAACAAAUAACCAACAAAACAGGAAAUAAGACAAACAAACUAAUUAAACAAAGCAAAUAAAGAAAACAAACACUUCAACCAAAUAUCCUAAAAGCUAACAAGAUCAAGUACCAGCUCGAACCUGUAAGUUCCUCAGCAGAGUCGCCAAAUUUGUCACACCCCUUUUUACAAACCUCACUAAACCCUCUUAAAAUAAUAAAAGUGAUUUUGAAGCUUGAAAGGGUUUUCAAUUAGAAACAUGAAAAAGAAUUGUGUUCAAAAGGAUUUUUCAGAGUCGCCACCUGACAUUAGUUUCGGGGUGCCAAGUCACCAUUUUUUUAAAAUGAUUUUUUCUUUUAAAAUACUUGGGACUCCAAAACUAAGUCUGCACCAGAGAUUCGGGUAAGGGGGUUCAUUUGACUCGGGGAGAAGGUUUUACGCACUUCCCAAGUUCCGUGAAGUUCACGGUUGCGUACUCAAUCUAGUUGGCUUUUAAAACAUUAAAGCCAUUAAAUCCUUACGAAUCCCAAUUGCUUUUCUUAAUUCUCUGAAAUACCAUUCAUAUGAUUCGUUAUUCUCUGAAUCAGCUACCCCAAAUGCUAUAGGGAAAAUCUGGUUAUUUGCAUCUUUUGUAACAGUCACUAACAGAACACCUCUAUAUUUAUUUUUUAGAAAUGUUCCAUCAACUGCAAUAAGUGGUCUACAAUACUUCCACCCAGAAAUUGAUGCCCCAUACAUGAAAAACAUGUAGACAAACCUAUUCAAUUGAAAAGUAAAUAACUUUCAGUUAUACCAUAUGACAAGUUGAAUACUAAUAACAUACUACACAAAAAACUUAAAGACGACAGACUUCCAUUAAAAUAUACGAAAUCAAACACAACUCAAAUAUUAUAUAAUUGAUUAAAUAUCAUAAUAAAAAAGAAGAUGAGGUAAAAAUAAACACAAAAAAAAAAAAAACUAAACACAAGAGGCUAGAGGUCGUCCCCAACUAAUAAAGGAAAAUAAAAUGAAAUAAAAAUAAAAUAUUACAAAUCUAUAUGCUCCUCCUCAAUGCUUGUCAAGGCCUCCAAAAUACUUACAAAGUUCUUCGGGGCAUUCCCCGAAAUAAAAUAUUUACAAAUCCUUCGGGCCAUUCCCCGGACAAAUUUAACUAAAGGGGCGACCUUCGCACCUCAUAUAAAAGAAAAGAAAAGGAAAAUCCUAAUAUUCUCCUACCUGAGUGUUGACGGUCUAGCAUGCUCCUAGCAUUAACGAAACUAAUAGUAAUGAAAUAGAAUUAGAACAUGUCAUCUACUAUCCAGUUCUCUUAAAGUUAAUUCUCUUAAUUCUGUUCAAACUCACGUGACCCAAUCCCACUUAUUCUCAAUUACUUCAAUGACCCAUUAGUUUUUCCAUUCAAAUUAGGCGCCACCACACAUCCAACCAGACAAGAGUCCAUAAAUUGUUACAAUUAAAGUUUCAACCAAAAUUUAACGUGGAAAAUUAAAACUAGUCAUAGGCAAAUCAGAAAAGAGAAGAACAGAAGAUAGAAUGGACCUUCAAAGCUUUGAAUUUCAAAACAUCGUCAACUGAACGGGACCUUGACCGAAAGCUCGAACCGGAACUUGUUUGGUGCAAUGAAGCAUGGUUGUGACGGCUUCAGAUCUAUUAUCAACUCUGCUUUGAGUUCAAACCUCUCAAAAAGCAGUGGACAAGGGAAUUAAGGGAGAUCGAAGUGAGCUUAAAGGACAAAAUUUGUUGUUAGAGCCAAAAGCGUUGCUGCUGGAAUUUCAUAGGAUUUAUAGGCAACUGAUAGAUUUUCACAAAAAAAACUGCUCCUUUUCUUUUGUCCGUUCUCUGCUUCUGAAAUUCUUGUCUGGUUUUGAGCCAAAGCUAAAGCCAAAAUCAAAUUCACUUUUCCCCUAAAUUUAUGUUCGUGACCCUCUCCCCUGUUUCGUGUGUGUGUCUGUGUAUGUAUUUUCUGAUCUGAGAAGAAGGGAGGUGAAGCGGCUGGUCUCUAACGAGUUUCGGUGGCGGCGGGCGUGGUGAACAGAGGUAGGUGAGACUGACUUGUUAGGUAUCUAAGGGUUGGUGAAGGAAGGGGUGAACUCGCCAGCUUUAAUGAGUUUUUCUAACAAGUUGUAUCUGGUUUGAGGCGACGGCGUUGUAGUGUGGGGCUGGAGAUGAGAGAUAAGAUGAGGAAUUGAAGAAGGAAGGUAGAAAACGGCUGGUUGUGAAGGUCUGGGGUCCGGCCGAUUGGGGGGUCUGUUGUGUCGUUCAGGUCUAACGUGUCUAGCUGAAUAAGAAGCUGCUUAGGUCCUGUAGGGGUGAAGAAGAAGAAGAAGAAGAAGUUCUUUUCUAAGGUUUGAGUUCUUGUCCUUUUGUUGAAGAAGAAGGCAAUGGCUGAGACAUAGGAGAUGGGCGCUGAUGGGUUUUUUUUAGGGUUCUUGAAGGGUAUGGGAGGU